RNAcentral lists this long non-coding RNA (228 nucleotides) under Mytilus galloprovincialis (Mediterranean mussel). The record is from RNAcentral. Lineage: Eukaryota; Metazoa; Mollusca; Bivalvia; Mytilida; Mytilidae.
UUCUCGUUUCUCGUUUUGUUUAUAUAGAUUAGACCGUUGGUUUUCCCGUUUGAAUGGUUUUACACUAGUAAUUUUGGGGCCCUUUAUAGCUUGUUGUUCGGUGUGAGCUAAGGCUCCGUGUUGAAGGCCGUACUUUAACCUAUAAUGGUUUACUUUUUAAAUUGUUAUUUGUAUGGAGAGUUGUCUCAUUGGCACUCACACCACAUCUUCCUAUAUCUAUUAACUCAU